Molecule: non-coding RNA, 107 nt
Organism: Citrus sinensis (sweet orange)
Lineage: Eukaryota; Viridiplantae; Streptophyta; Magnoliopsida; Sapindales; Rutaceae
Source: Rfam
AUGCCAUGAUGAUGACAUCUCCUCAGCAACUCCUUAAAUCUUUCCCAAGCCUCAUACAAGCUUUCAUUUUCUAGCUGAUGAAAAGAAGUGAUCUUAUUAUGCAACUU